Molecule: ribosomal RNA, 403 nt
Filed under: Enterobacter sp.
Lineage: Bacteria; Pseudomonadati; Pseudomonadota; Gammaproteobacteria; Enterobacterales; Enterobacteriaceae
Description: bacterial SSU rRNA
Rfam family: Bacterial small subunit ribosomal RNA
Source: RNAcentral
UGGGGAAUAUUGCACAAUGGGCGCAAGCCUGAUGCAGCCAUGCCGCGUGUAUGAAGAAGGCCUUCGGGUUGUAAAGUACUUUCAGCGGGGAGGAAGGCGACAGGGUUAAUAACCCUGUCGAUUGACGUUACCCGCAGAAGAAGCACCGGCUAACUCCGUGCCAGCAGCCGCGGUAAUACGGAGGGCGCAAGCGUUAAUCGGAAUUACUGGGCGUAAAGCGCACGCAGGCGGUCUGUCAAGUCGGAUGUGAAAUCCCCGGGCUCAACCUGGGAACUGCAUUCGAAACUGGCAGGCUAGAGUCUUGUAGAGGGGGGUAGAAUUCCAGGUGUAGCGGUGAAAUGCGUAGAGAUCUGGAGGAAUACCGGUGGCGAAGGCGGCCCCCUGGACAAAGACUGACGCUCAG